Molecule: ribosomal RNA, 497 nt
Filed under: uncultured bacterium
Lineage: Bacteria
Description: partial 16S ribosomal RNA
Rfam family: Bacterial small subunit ribosomal RNA
Source: RNAcentral
GAUGAACGCUGGCGGCGUGCCUAAUACAUGCAAGUCGAGCGAACAGAUGAGGAGCUUUCUCCCCUGACAUUAGCGGCGGACGGGUGAGUAACACGUGGAUAACACACCUAUAAGACUGGGAUAACUUCGGGAGACCGGAGCUAAUACCGGACAAUAUAUUGAACCGCAUGGUUCAAUAGUGAAAGACGGUUUUGCUGUCACUUAUAGAUGGAUCCGGGCCGCAUUAUCUAGUUGGUAAGGUAACGGCUUACCAAGGCACCGAUGGGUAGCCGACCUGAGAGAGGGACCGCCAAAUCGGGACCGGGGAACCGCCCAAGACUCCUCCGGAGGGAACAGGGGGGGAACUUUCGGAAUGGAGGGAAGUCCGGCCGGGGAACCCCGGCGUGGUGAUUACAGCUCUCGGGUUCGAAAGACCCGGUUAUUGGGAAGAAAGGACUGUUUGAGAAUAGUGGCAAGGAUUGACGGUACCGGAAUAGAAAGCCACGGCUAACUACGUG